UAGGGAAUCUUCGGCAAUGGGGGGAACCCUGACCGAGCAACGCCGCGUGAGUGAAGAAGGUUUUCGGAUCGUAAAGCUCUGUUGUUAAGGAAGAACGAGUGUGAGAAUGGAAAGUUCAUGCUGUGACGGUACUUAACCAGAAAGGGACGGCUAACUACGUGCCAGCAGCCGCGGUAAUACGUAGGUCCCGAGCGUUGUCCGGAUUUAUUGGGCGUAAAGCGAGCGCAGGCGGUUAGAAAAGUCUGAAGUGAAAGGCAGUGGCUCAACCAUUGUAGGCUUUGGAAACUGUUUAACUUGAGUGCAGAAGGGGAAAGUGGAAUUCCAUGUGUAGCGGUGAAAUGCGCAGAGAUAUGGAGGAACACCAGUGGCGAAGGCGACUCUCUGGUCUGUAACUGACGCUGAGGCUCGAAAGCGUGGGUAGCAAACAGG
RNAcentral lists this ribosomal RNA (429 nucleotides) under Bacteroidota bacterium. RNAcentral's name for it is "Bacteroidetes bacterium partial 16S ribosomal RNA". It matches the Rfam family "Bacterial small subunit ribosomal RNA", at positions 355 to 776 of the family's 1533-position model. The record is from RNAcentral. Lineage: Bacteria; Pseudomonadati; Bacteroidota.